CCUACGGGAGGCAGCAGUGGGGAAUAUUGCGCAAUGGGCGCAAGCCUGACGCAGCCAUGCCGCGUGAGUGAAGAAGGUCUUCGGGUUGUAAAGCUCUUUCAGCAGGGAAGAAGGGUCUCUGUGCAAUUCACUAGUGAAUUGACGUUACCUGCAAAGGAAGCACCGGCUAACUCCGUGCCAGCAGCCGCGGUAAUACGGAGGGUGCGAGCGUUAAUCGGAAUUACUGGGCGUAAAGCGCACGCAGGCGGUAUGUCAAGUCAGGGGUGAAAGCCCCGGGCUCAACCUGGGAACUGCCUUUGAAACUGGCAAGCUAGAGUGUGUUAGAGGAGGGUGGAAUUCCAGGUGUAGCGGUGAAAUGCGUAGAGAUCUGGAGGAACAUCGGUGGCGAAGGCGGCCAUCUGGCAAAAGACUGACGCUGAGGUGCGAAAGCGUGGGGAGCAAACAGGAUUAGAUACCCCAGUAGUC
RNAcentral lists this ribosomal RNA (465 nucleotides) under uncultured bacterium. Its description in RNAcentral is "partial 16S ribosomal RNA". It matches the Rfam family "Bacterial small subunit ribosomal RNA", at positions 338 to 795 of the family's 1533-position model. The record is from RNAcentral.